RNAcentral lists this ribosomal RNA (491 nucleotides) under uncultured bacterium. RNAcentral describes it as "partial 16S ribosomal RNA". It matches the Rfam family "Bacterial small subunit ribosomal RNA", at positions 29 to 523 of the family's 1533-position model. The record is from RNAcentral.
AACGAACGCUGGCGGCGUGCUUAACACAUGCAAGUCAAACGGGUGUAGCAAUACACAAGUGGCGCACGGGUGAGGAAUACAUGGGAAUCUGCCAAGUAGAGAGGGACAACUUCGGGAAACUGGAGCUAAUACCUCAUAAGCAGGAAACUGGAAAGGUGGGGACCUUCGGGCCUACCGCUAUUUGAUGAGCUCAUGUCCCAUUAGCUAGUUGGCGGGAUAACAGCCCACCAAGGCGAAGAUGGGUAACUGGUCUGAGAGGAUGAUCAGUCACACUGGAACUGAGACACGGUCCAGACUCCUACGGGGGGCAGCAGUGGGGAAUAUUGCGCAAUGGGGGAAACCCUGACGCAGCAACGCCGCGUGAGUGAAGAAGGCCUUCGGGUUGUAAAGCUCUUUCAGUAGGGAAGAAGGGGUUGUUUGUUAAUACCAAAUGACUUUGAUGGUACCUAUAGAAGAAGCACCGGCAAACUUCGUGCCAGCAGCCGCAGUAA